RNAcentral lists this long non-coding RNA (24100 nucleotides) under Theobroma cacao (cacao). Its description in RNAcentral is "long non-coding RNA (TCAC_LNC003783)". The record is from RNAcentral. Lineage: Eukaryota; Viridiplantae; Streptophyta; Magnoliopsida; Malvales; Malvaceae.
UGGCAUCAGUAAUCAAAUAUACAUAUUUCAUUUUUAACAUGAAUCUUAGUGGUCUUCAUUACUUAUAUAUGUACACAAGUAUAAGACUCUUGACUGUCAGCGGAGUGACCGUGGGUGAAGGUACAGCUACUGAGAUGCCAAGUACCUACCAAGAAGGCGAGCGUAUGUGUGUGACUCAAUCUAGGUCCCAACUUGCCUUCGAAUCUGAAAACAUGAAGUUUAAAAACGUAAGUAUAAAACUCAAUGAGUGAACAUAUGAAGGGAACAAGCAAUCAAUAGGAAGAAUUUGGAAAUCAUGAUGCACUUGUUUCAAAAAAAUUACAAUUUAUUUAGUUUCUUACUAAAAACCCCUCAUUUCAAACUUUGAUUAAUAACUUCAUAGUGUUGCAAAAACCCAAGAUCAAUCCAUGAAGUUAAAUGGGUGAAACAAAUGUCAAAAUCAAGCAUGGUAGCAAGUUUCUCGCUGCAGCAAAGUUCAUUCUCGCUGCAGCGAAGUUCAUUCUCGUUGCAGUGAGAUUUAGGCUACCAAAACAGAAAGUUUCUCGCUGCAGUGAGAAAUAGUGUUAGUUUGCAUAUGUUUCAGUUUUUCUAUCAUAUCCCCUGUUACAGAAGUUCAAUUGACUUGAUUUUUAAACCAUUAGAAAGCGAAGAAACAAGGAUACAACUUUUAUGUUUACCACUUUUCCCAGUUCAAACGAGAAUAUUGUCAAAAUCUUCAUCAAAGUGAAAAUACUGCAUCAAAACCUGAGAGUUUCUCGCUACAACGAGAUUUAUUCUCAUUGCAGCGAGUUAUUGGCUGCCAAAAUAGAAUAUUUCUUGCUGCAGCGAGAAGUAGGGCACCUAAGUGUAAAAAAGACCUCCUUUGCACUAAAAAUCCAUUUGCUGUUGCAAUAAAUAUCAUUUUGCAAGAAAAUGGGAAAUUCUCAAGAUUCAUCAUGCCAAAUUUCACAUGCAUUACAACCAUAUACCAUAUUCAUGAACUUCUAUUUCACAAACAUAUAUAUACUUAUAUACAUAAAUAAACACCAAUACCACUAUCAUCUCACCCAACUCAUGUGCAUCCCCCCACAUCGUGCACAUAGCCAGAGUCAUCAUGUGCAUCCCCCUACAUCGUGCACAGUCAGUGCCAUCAUGUACAUCCCCCCACAUCGUGCACACAGGCACUAUCAUCAUCCAUCUCCUUCACCACAGUCAUCACCGGCAUGUUCAUCCCCCCACAUCGUGCACACGCACGGUUAUAAUUAUCACACAAUAUCAACUAUCAAUGCACAACAUAUAUAUAUAUGUAUAUAUAUAUCAACACAAUGUAGUAGUGCAUGAAUCCAUAACAGCCACAUGUCACAAUAUAAAGAUAAUUUAUCAAGGGAUUGUUCCCAAGGCACACAUUUUUAAGAAAAGUUGGAUAAAAUCAAUCAAUGUUUUGUGCAAAUAGUUUCACAUUCCCAAAACAGUUUUAAAAUGCAAGUUCACUCACCGAUAUUUGUUGAAUCCUUAAUUGACUCUAACUUUUAUUAUUGCUUCAAAUGGACAUGUGAGGCCUCAUUGGAACCUAUUUUCACACACAACAUCACAACCAACCCAAAUUUGCAUUAAUAUAAUUCCAAAAGCUAUUUCCUAAAUCAAGUUCCACUAGUUAUUCCUAACUAGCUUCCAAUUUCCAUUAAAUGGCUAUCUAUUCUUUCUACUCUAGUAACUCUAGAAAUAAAUAAACAAACCUCACUAAAUAAACAACUCACAACUCCAAUUACUAGCCAUUAUCAACAACCUAAAAUCAAUCCUCAUUCAUUACUAAUCUUGGUAUAUUUGUAGUUGAAUUCCUUCUUAAGAAUACUCAAGCUAUCAUGGAAAAUCUCUCUCUCUCUCUCUCUCUCUCUCUCUCUCUUUAAAUUUUCAACUAGUGAGAGAAAGUGCUAAAUAAAGACUUUUUAAGGGUUUUAAGGUGAGAGAGUGAAAAAGAACAAAAGGUUCUAUGAAGAAGUGCUCAAAAGCAUGAAAAUUGAAGGUAGAGAGAGAAAGUUAUGGAAGCUUUAUGGGAGGCUCCUAUGGAGAUGAAGAAACGUGAGAUGGGAAGGAAGAAGAAAUGGCUAGAAGCUGUUGGAAAUUGCUAGAGCUUUAGAUAUUUAUAUCUAAAGUUUAUCCAUUUCUCACUUAAAUUACCAAAAUGCCUUUAACAUGGUGACUUUGUCUUCCUCUCAUCCUUUGUGCAACCUUUUACUCUUUUGACACUAGGGCAAGGUCUAUAAUAGUCUAGAAAUACUCAAGUUCAUGAAAACAUAAAAAUUUAGACCCCAAGAUGCAAAAUGACCAUUUUACCCCUAUCAUGAAAAUUAUCAUUAUUUUUAUCUUCUUCAUUUAUUUACCAUCAUAAACAUCAUUUAUUCAUUCCUUAGGCUUAUUUGGAUCUUAAUAGCAUAAAAAAAAAGCCACUCAUAGGAGCUCAUCAAGAGAAAUCAUGAAAUUACCCUUGGUCUGCAUUAUUGCGUCUACUUCUAGUUACAUGUCUAUAGAGGUCGAGAUUUCACAAGUUCACUUCUGAAUUACCCUUUUAACUAUGUACUUAACCUCAAUUGGCAUCCGUAAACUUUGUUAGCCACCAUAUCAAAAUACGGGGUACUAUAGUCUCCCCCACUCAAAAUGAAUUCGUCCUCGAAUUCAAAUCGGCGUAGGGUGAAUAAUCAAAGUUCUAAAGUUCUACAACAUCACUUUCGUCGAGGAUUCUUAACAUAGAUCCUUGGUUUAUGCAUCAUAUUGAUUUUCAAUCUUAUAGAAAACACGACAAUGUCAUAGUAUAUAGUUAUGUGUACUACUCUUGUUGGAUCGAAAUAAUAUCGUUCUUUAUCUUAUGAAGAGAAUUCAAAUAUGCUAUUAAUUCUGGUCACACCUCAAUCAAAUCAUCUUUAAAUCAUCAGUCAUGCAUGUUUACCUAACCAUCCACAAUUCCUCUACCUUGAUCUUUUAUCAAACCUUCCAACACUCUAGCAUUUAUUCCACCAUUAACUAUGGGUUUAAAUGGUCAACCAACCUCUAUUCCGUUUUACAUACCUCCAUACAAAUUCCAUUCAAGCAUUUCAUAAUACAUAAGGAUCAAACACUCUUUAUUUAUUCAUAUAUAUUUAACAUCACGGAUGAUUCAAAUCCGGUAACCAUUAGUAACCAUAUUCCCAAAAACAAACUUCAAUACUUUCAUGAUCGAGUGCUCCCUAGAUAAAUCUCAACUUAUACCACAAGGCAUUUCAAUAAAUUAUGACAUUCCACAUACCCCCUUAUAAUCUUAACCAAUCUCUUUAAUCAAUAAGUCAACCUCUCAAGAUUAAAGUUGCUCAAAAUUUUCCCUUUAAAGUUCCUUUCCAAGUCUCAUUCUGAUUACUAAUCAUUUCUACAUUUCCGAUGUCAUAGCUAAUUUGCUCGUCAUCAAUCACCCACAACAUAUCUAACUUGAUAUUUCUAAAAUUUACUCCAAACAUCAGAUCUCAUGGCCUCAUUAGUUCAUCAAUCUGAAGAUCAAAUUAAACAUUUAUCUCUCCUUAAGUGCACUUUAAAAUUUAAGAAUUAUCUAGUAAGACCUUUCUGAUAUUAACUUAUUUUGUCCUUUUUACCUUAGAAAAUUAAAUCCAUAAUCAUUCAUUUUGAAUCAUGAGCUUUAUACCAAUCAACGCAGAUUUUAACACUUUUAAUUAUACGAAUUCAAAUGCACACCUUUACACAUAAGUUAUAGACUUUUUUCCCACAUCUUUAUAUAUCAAAAGUAUAUAUAUUGAAGCUAUACCAAAACUGAUACAUCAUUUUCCAUUGCCCCUUAGGAUAUUAAAUUCAUGUCAUACUUCUCUAUUUGUGUACUUCAUAAUAACCUAACAAUUUCUAGCUCACAGUUAAGCUAGUUUAUAUGCCAAGCCUCUCAGGCUAUAUUAAAACACCAAAUUUUGUCACGAUAUAAUAGAAUUUGAUGAACUCAUACCAAAAGUAUAAACACUUACUUUUAAGGUAACAGCAUUAUAGUCCACUUGUUCACUGCCAAAAUUAGUGAUAAAUUAUCUUAAUCAUUGUCUAGCUCAUAACCAUUGAUAGAAUGUCAUCAUCAAAUCAAAUUAUAACUAACUCUGCAUGAGCUUUUAUACCAAUAUGCAACAUAUAUAUCCAUACAUAUAUAUUUCCAAAAAUUUUAACUUCAAAUAGCCUUAGGCAUAUCAAGCUCAAUAAGCCGUCUGUAAAACCAAAAUAACCAACAAUCAAGUUUAAAAUCAUUUUUUCUCUUUGUUGGUUAGAUCAUGCUCAUCAUUUGUGGUGAAUACACAAAGUUGAUUUCAAUAUUCCAUUCUCAUACAAGAGUCAACCACUAAUUGGCACAAUCUCCAAACACCACGUGUUUUAUAAGUCGAUUUUCUUAGUCAAAAUUCAUAUUGUAGUAUUCCAACUUUAGGUCAUGUCUCAUUACCGAAUCUUUACUCGUAUACGAGUACUCGAAUUCUCAAAUCAUCAUCUAUUUUCUAAGUAGAUCUCUGCCAUUCCCGUAGCUUAUUUGUAAAACCCGACCCUAUAAAUACAUGUCAUGACAUACAUGCAUUGAGUAGCAUGUUAUUACGCUAGAAAAGCACCUAAGAAUAGACGAAACCUGAUAUUGUACUUAACGGUACACUUAAAUUGAUUUAACCUCGAAGUAGUUCAAAUAGGAAUUGUAGGAUGAAAUUUAAUAUUUUAUAGUCCAGGAAUGACUAAAAAUGAUUGUUCGGAGUUCGAGGGUUCAUUUGGGGUAAAAUUAGAAAUUUUGAUAUUCAAGGGCAAAAUCGUCAUUUUGCCACCUAAGAUAAUAAUUUGAUCAUGGAGUGAAAUUUUUGACCAAGAUUAACUAUUUGGAGUAUAAUUUAAUGAUAGGAAGUGAAAAAGUUUAAUUCUGGUGAUUUUUGGAGUGUAGGGGCAAAAUCGUAAUUUUGCCACCCACGGACAAAAUUUGAGAUUUUGAGAGAAUUUAGAUCAAAUUUGACAAAUUGGAGAAUGGUAUGAGUAUAAGGGAUGAAAAAUAUGUCUAUGGGCAAUUUUUCAAUUUUUGGGGCAAAAAUGUAAUUUUUGACUUUUACGGGGGCAAAAGUGUAAAUUUCAAAAAUUACUCCACCGAGACUUUGGAUGAGUCUGAGAAUUUUAUCUAAGCUAUGAAUAUAUGAGACAAGUGUAUGGUGAAAAUUUGGAAACAAAUGGAUGAAAUUUUAAAAAUGGGCCAAUGGGAAAGUGACAUGUGGCAUUUUUUAAUGAAAUAAUAUUAUUUUAAUGAAAAGUCAGCCCAUUUAAACCCAAAUUUUGAGUGCUGGCCGGCCAUAAGGAAGAACAAGAGAGGAAAUAGAGAGGAAAGGAAGAAAAAAAGAAAAACCAAAGAGAAACAAGAAAAUUCAAAGGGAAAUUCGCGGUUUUCGACCGUUUACGCGUCUAACGGUAAGAUUUUUCGAUUUUAGCUUGAUUUCUACCUUUCCUAUGCCUUUAUUUCCAUUUAGCAUGCUUGAGGAGAGAGAUCAAAAAGUGAUAUCAAGGGCUGGACGAAAUUCUAGGGGAGAGAAAUUGAAAUUUUUAGGUUUUGAUUUUUAGUUAAAUUGAUAGUUUUAGUUAGUUAAAUGUGUUUAGAAAUUAAAUUGGGCAAGAAAUCAUUAAAUUUUCACAAUACCCACUCUUGGCUGGAUGCUCAAUGCUGUACAAUGAUGAUGAAUUGAUUUUAUUCUAAGGAAAAUGAAGAGAAAAUGAUGAAAAACGAUUAAACGUGAUAGAAAAACAAAGUAGAAAAUUAACCGAGUUAAUGUCCCAUUUUUGGCCGAAUUUUCCAAGGAAGGGAGUGAGCUGAUUUUGUUGUUUUUAGAAGGUUAUUGGCUGAUAUUUAAUGGUUAGAAAUGUUGGAGAGAGAAUGGGAUGAUUUAGAGCUAAAAUGGAGCGCGUUAGCAAUUUAUCGGGCAAAGUGCCAAAAAUAGGUUAAUACCGCGUUUAAGCCGUUUUAGGCUAUUGCAUUUCAUACCAUGCAUUAGUAUAGGAUUUAAGUUAAUUAUAUAGUGAUUUAGCAUCAAUGUGAUGAAUUGUGUAAAUUUUUGUAAUGUGUCUAGGAGGAGAGCCUUCCGGAAAAGGCAAAGAAGUCGUACCCGACGAGUAGUGAUCGGGGCGCUUAGAAAGCUUUUAGUUUGUACAAACGGUGAGUAAACUUAUUAUUAUUGUAAAUUAUCUAGAGUUUAUUUUUAAAUGCCCUUUAUGUAUUUUAUGAAAUGAAAACGAGAUUAAAACGGGAUUUUUGAUGUUUUAGGAAUAAAUGUGACAAAUAAAAAUAUAUUGUAUUGAUUAUGAAAUUGAGUAAUUGGAGGCUGCAAAUUGACUUGAAAAAUAUAUAUUUUCCUAGGAAUGGCUUAUGAGAAAUGAGUAUAUGUGGCUAUAUUUUGUGAGUGCAUUGGGAAAUUUAUGUAAGUUGUUUUUACUAUGCAGGCUGGAUAAAUAAAUAAAAGCCACGUUAUACUGUCGAAAUUUUAUUAAAAUUGGUGGGUUAGUCACUGCAGUGACGGGUUUCCGUGGACUGCCUAUUAGAGGGGCACGGUAAACCCAGUUAUAUAGUUACUCCGGUUGUAGAGGCGAGGAGGGUAACUCCUGGGGUAGUAUUAGAGCUCACUUCACGUCGAACCCCCACGUGAAUGUGUAACUCGGCCAACGCCAAGGAACGGCUGGUUUUAAAAAUAAAAAUGUGUUUCACGUGUGAAUAUUUUAACACCCUUGGCGGACUCGGUUAGAUGCCUCGGCCAAGGUAUCCCCGAGGAUUAGUUUUGGCUUGAGCCUUGUUUUAAUAAAAGACAUAAGCCUUAACAACUGUUUUGGUAAAUUACAAAUAUUUUAUGGUUUAAGAAAUAAAUUGAAAACAUUAUGAAAUGGGUUGAAAUUUGUUGUUUAAACUUGCCUCCAUUUUACUCGCCUUUAGAUAUUUAUGAUAAUGUCUGUUUACUCAUUGGGAUUGCAAAAUCUCACCCAACUCCUUUCCACCCAUUUCAGGUUCAGUAUAGACUGUAGAUAGCUGAUCUCAUCGAGGACUACCAUUGGAUCUGCAUUUUCCAAAUCGUAGGUUCACAGUCCUCUUUACUUUUGUUUAUUCGGGGGCUCUCUUGUUAUUGUAAAUUAAAUUAAAUAUUUUGGCUUACUGCAUUUUAGUAUGUAUAAAUUUAUUUAGCUUUUACGCUAUAAAAAUUAUUCAUGUAUAACUCUAUAAAUAUUGUUUUAUAAGAAAAUAGAAUAUUUUCCUUAAUAUUUUUUUUAUUUUCUUAUUAUAUUCAAAUAACCGUAAUUUUGUUUUAAAUGAAGAUUUUAGACUUUUAAACUCAUUUUUAAUAUGAAUUUUGUGUUUUGUACUUGUAUAUUACAUUUUAGCCAAUUUCGAAAUUUUUGAGAAAAAAAUGACCAAAAUACUCCUAUGUGGCGAAAAUUUUAUUUUGAUUGUUUUUUAUCUAAAAUAGUGUAUAUUAUCUAAAAACUUGAUAUUUAACAACGAUUGCUCACAGGAAAGGAAAGAAACUGAUAUGUAAGCCUUGCGGGGUUCCGGUUGGCAUUCCAGAUAAUGAGUGUCAAUCAGGGACGUUGCGGCGAUUGUCAUGGGCCUGAGGGAGGUUCCGGGUCGUGACAUUAUUUCUAUUCCCUUACCAGUAGUAGUAUCAUUUAAUCAACCCGUGUCACCCUCGUUCUCUAAACAUUUGAAACACAAUUCAACCUUUGCUUACCCUUACCAAGCACAUUACCUUGAUAAUUACUCAAAAUAAAUUGGAACUUGUGAGGGAAGCACAUUUAACAAUUUAUGCCUUACGUCUAUAAUUAUAUCAAGACCAGAACCUCAUCAAGUCCACAAAACAGUAGGAUAAUCAUUGCCUCAAACCAGCAUUUCCAAGUAUACUUAUGCUUGUAUCAUAUCUUCAUACUUAUGUGACAUAUCAGUCACGAGCCCAACUUGACUAUAUAGCCAUUUGCUCUUUGAGCUUUAAUGUUGUCUCACUGUGAAAAAUCUUUCGAAUUUAUCUCAUCAGUGUAUUCACAAGGUGGAUACAUGUCCAUAACUUACAGCUCAAGGCCUAAAGCAUUGAACACAAUCUCAUCAUUGAUGUUUUACGCUAUAUCAUAAAAUACAAAAUGUAAUCUAAUAACUAUGACAGUGAAAUUCUAAAGUUCUAGCUUUAUCUACCAAUCAUAGCUCCCUUUUUUAGCACAUACUUUACACUGCUUGAUUGUUCACAAGCCACUGAUAGCCAUCCAAAUUUGACCUCUUAUAGCAAGUCAAACUAGUAUAUUAUUCUUAUGUUUUCCAAUACACUUCCAAAAUGCUUAAACACUUCCUUUAAUAGGGUUCCAUUGAGAACUUAAUCAAUCAAAGACUUAUCUUCAAAGCCACUCAUAACUUUAAUCGUUCAUUGUAUGCUUGAUAACACUUUAGCUCACUGACCCACUGAACAUUAUUUUAAAAUCUCCCAAGGUGUCUGUACUCUUAGUUCGGAUCAUACCAUUUAACUUAGUAUAAUUGCAUUAAUUAUCCUUAAGCUCUUUAUGCUCAGCAUAUCAACAUCCAUAUUUCCCCCUCAUUCAUGUUAUUGACCUUGUUAAGGUAUAUAUGUGGCUUUUCAACCUUUCACAAUACAUUCCACAUUUAUGCCAGGGCAUUCUCAAUCUCAUGCCAAGCCUAUAGUCAUGUAAUCACCAAUUAGGCCAAAUCCUUCUAUGGAAUAUCUCUUUCCACACGAUGAAUGCGAAUCACAAGAUAUACAACUUUGAGUGUAUGCUUACAUAUUGGUAACCUCCAUAUAUUUCAUGGUCAUAAAACCACAAUUUGCAAAACUAGCUUCCUAUCACAAGUUUGCGAUUGGAACAAUAGUCUCCACAUAUCUCACUUUGGACAUACUUCACUAUUAACAUUCAUAUACCUUUACCACAACAUUCAGUGCAAAUUGAUUAAGCAAUGAUCUCCAAAUUUACUCUUAGAUACACAUAUAUCAAAUUGUACACCACUUAGUGUUGAGAUCUUGACUUUACUCAUCAACUUUUAACCAAUUACAUCCAUAAGAUAAAUAAUUCACUAAAUUUUUAUAUUUUGCUUUUGCAGUCAUAAGAUCAAAAUUUCUUAAGCUUAUGAUGCAGAAGCUUCCUCUUAGAGUAUAUCCGAAAAUCCACAUGUUUUAAGUCCCUUACCCUUGGAGAAGUCACCUUCAAGACUAAUCAUUUACAUCAUAGGUUGCAUAUUGAACCAAACAUAUUUUUAAAUUGACCUUUAAAGCAAUUCGUAUAUCGAUCUUCAUAUAGAACUCCAUAUGGCACUUCUACUAAAUUUGUCAUUUCCAUGUCAUUUAAUUUCAAACUACUAAAUCCACAUCUAGUCCUUUAAUCCUUUGACCUCACGCAUAGCAUAACAAAGUUUAUGCUCUUCCUUAGAGAAGAUUUGUUUACAUACCUCUCACUUGAUGACCACACAUCAAUUAUAAUAGUCAGUGAAUUUCACCCUUAAGCUAAUUCAUGUACUUAUAACUAUAAACCAUAAUAUUUCAAAUCAAACCUUGGGAUCUUGCAAUUACUUAAUUGAAAUCAAAACCAACUCCUUUUAUAUAUGGCAUAACAAGCUCGAUUAACCUAGUGCACUUACUUCUGUGCACAUAAGUAUUGGCUUACUCUUACUGUCACGACCUGAUUUUCAAGCCGUGACCGACGCAUGGACUCAAUGGACAUAGUCCAUUUAGCCCAAGCAAGCCUAUCUAUAUUAUCCUACUCAUUAUUCCAUCAAAGUUACUAAAGUCACAUUUCGUAAUUUUGAACCAAAAUAAUGCUAACCAUUUUCGACUCUCAGUGACAUGCCAAUCCAAAUAUACAUACAUUGUCUAAAAUAUAUGUCUUAACAAUUUACAUCAGGUUCGACCAUACAUAUCAAAAAGAAGACUAGAUUUUCAGUAGAGAGACUCAGAUGAAUGUACAACUAUUGAAUGCCAAGACACCUACCAACAGUCGAAUAUACAAAGACACCUCGACCUAGUUACCAGCUGCCUCUUGAUCUGAAAACAUGAAGUUGAAAACGAUGAGUAUAAACCCAGUGAGUGAACAUAUGAAGGGAACAAGCAAUAUAAUAAGAAAAAGUUUGAAAUCAUAAUGCACUUAUUUGAAAACGAUGCACUUUAACUUAAGUCCUUAUUAAACGUCACGACCCAGAACCAUCCUUGAGUCCGUGACAAUCGCCGCGAUGUCUCGAUAGGCACUCAUCCCUCGAAUACCAUAUCGAGACGUCGCAAGGCUUUCGUAUCAAUUUCUUAUCUCCCCUAUGGUUAAUCGUUGCCAAAUGUCGUCUUUUAGAGGCUUUAAAGCUUUUUUCCGAUUUAAAACUGUGAAAAAAUAAAUUUCACUUCACCGGGGCAUUUUGGUCAUUUUUCAUCAAAAAUUUCAAAUUCGACCAAAAUGUAGUACUUAAGCGAGAAAUGCAUAUUUCGAAAUCGAAAUUAAAUUUGAAUGUCUAAAACGUGAUUUAAAAUGGAAUUAUAACCAUUUAAAUAAAAUAAAAAUAUUCGACAAAAUAUUCUAUUUUCUUACAAAUUAAUAUUUAUAGAGUAUUCUGAAAAUGAUUUUUAGUAGCGUAAAAGUUAAAUAUAUUUAUACAAACUAUAAUACGGAAAACCAAAGUAUGAAAUUUAAUUUACAGUGCUACGUGGGCCCACAAAUGAACAAAAGUAGUAAAGACAGUAAACCUACAGUUUUUGAAGUAGUAUGGCCAACUAUAGUUCUCGACGAUGUCUGCUAUCUACAGGCUAACCCGACCUGAAAUGAUGGGAUAAAAAAAAGGGUGAGAUUAUAAAAUCUCAAUGAGUAAACAAACACCAUUUAAAUAAUCUAAAGGCGAGUAAAGAGAGACAAUUAAAAAUAAUUCAUUUCAGCAAAUUUUUCACAACACGAAUAUUCAUUUCAACCAAAUAAUCAAUAUGACUCGUGAAUUUCUCAAAACUUGGCUCAUGCCAAAUCCUGUACUCGGGGACACCUGGACCAGGGGUAUCCAACCAAGUCCGCCAAGGUUGUAAAAAAUUUUAUAUAAUCAUAAAACUUGUUUUUAUUUUGAAAAAAACAGUCAUUCCUUGGCGUUGACUAGGUCUCACUUCACGUGGUGGUUAACGUGAAGUGCACUCAAAAAGCCCACCUUAGGAGAUACCCUACGCACCUCUACGACCGAGGUGAGAAUAUAUUGGGGUUCACCGUGCCCCUCUAAUAGGUUAGUCCACGAAACCCCGCCACUACAGUAGCUAAUCUUUAAUCCACCAAUUGAUCAAAUUUCAAUGGCAUAACAUGGCAAUUACAUUACUAACCAAUUUAUCAAGGCAAAACAGACAGUUCAUAUUUUUCAACACAAGUAUAAAUUCAGCCAAUCAUGCCAAUUUAUCACAAGCCAUUUAAUUCAAAUCAUAAUUUACAAUAAAUCACAUGGUCUCCAAUUACUCAAAUUUUCAAAUCCAACAUUCUAUUUUCAAAUCAAUUUAUAAAAAAUUCAAUUUAUUUUAUAAUUCCAUUUAUUUUAUAAAUUCAUAUUUUUCUCAUAAAACAAGAAAUUCAUCAUUUAAAAUAAUUUUCACAAAUCACAAAAUUGAAUAAAAACUACUCUAGAUAAUUCAGACGAUAAUAGGUUUACUCACAGGUUUCAAAAGUUCAGAUUUCGGGUGUACUUAGCUUAGUGAUCCCCAGGCGUAAUUUCCUUGCCUUUGUCGAAGGGCACACCACCUUGACACAGUAUAAAAUCAAGGAAUUUACUACGUUGCCCUUAAAUUGAAAUAACUAAUUUAGAUCACUAAUGCAUGGUAUGAAAUGCAAAAGGUCUAAAUUUUGCCUAAACACCGUAUUGACCUAUUUCGGUCUUUUACCCGAUAAAUUGAAAUACGCAUCUAAUUUAGCUCCAAUUGAUCCCAUUUCUUUUUCUAAUGCUUCAAAUCACCAAUGUCCAGCCAAAUAACCCAAAAAUCAGCAAAGCCACAUUCAUAUUCCUUCUUGGAAAAAUUCAGCCAAAAUGGUGCAUCAUUGUCACAAUUUUUCCUACUUGAUUUUCUUUCCAUAAUUCAUUAAUUUCCAUAUCAAAAACCAUGAUUUCAUAAUCAAAUAACCUAAAAUAACAUCACAUUCUUCCUCACCAUUGACUUGAAAAUUCAGCUAAGGCUAGGUAAUGGGAAAAAUGAAUGUUUUUCUACAUAUUUUGUUUACUAACAUGCUAAACUAACACUAAACACUAACAUAUAUCAAAAUCAAAUCAAUCCAACAAUUUUCUCUCUCUAGACCCAUAUGACCAGCCAUGAAAUCACCAUGAAAACAUGCAAUUUAAUCAUGGAAAAUAAGGAGAAAUGCUUGGGAAUAAGAAAACUCAAGCUUAAUUGAAAAAAUCUUACCUUUUUCACGUAAUUUCCUUGAAAAUUCAUACUUUUUCUUUGAUUUUCUCUCUCUAAGGUUUGGUUUUUGUUUUCUCUCUCUUCUUGCUGGUUUGGCCGACCAUGGGGUGGAAUAUCGGCUGAUUUUUGUGCCUUUUAAAAAGGAAAAAUAAUAAAUUAAUAAAGGCAUAACACGUGGCAUCAUGUCAUUGGCCCUUUUUUUUUAAUUUUGACUUUUCAUUUUAAUUUUCCACCACACCUUUAUUCCAUCUUUAUCCAUUCCCACCAUAAUUAAAUUCCACAAAUUUGACAAGUGUUGGUGUUGCAAAAUUACUAUUUUGCCCCCUAUAUGGUAAAAUUACCGUUUUACCUCAUACUCUAGAAAUACCGAGAAUUGAAAAUUUCUCACUCAUCAAACACCAAUUAUGUUCUAAAUAAUCUAAAUAAUUAAUCUUGAUCAAUUGUUACCAAAAUUUGUUUUUUAAAUUCUCGUUUUGUCCUUAAAUGACAAAAUGACUGUUUUAUCCCUAAUCGGUCAAUCCUCUCGAUUGACUCCAAACUGGACCUCGAACUCCGAAUCACUGUUUUAAGAAAUUCCUAGACUAUGAAAUUGAAAUUUCAUCUUAAAAUUUCUAUUUUAAUUAGUUCGAUGAAUAAAUCAACUUAGUUGUACUUUUAAGUAGAAUACCGACUUUUACCUGUUUUAUCAAGAUACUCUAGUACACAGGCAUGAUGCCAUAUGUAUGACCUGAUAGAUAAUUUAGGGUUGGGCUUGACAACACUACCCCCCUUAAAAUAAAAAUUUUGACCUCAAAAUUUCAUUUAUCAAUCUCAAAGAACUAAUAGGGGUAUUGUCUUUUCAUCAUAUCUUAAGUUUAAAUCUUGAACCACCAAGAACCAUUUUUCACUUGAGCUGAUCAUACUAUCAAUCCCUACACAUGUGUAUAUUCCUCAUAAUCCCAUCAGUGCUUCAAAGAUUUAUCUUGACUUGAUCAUUACAUCAUAUGCAAUACCACAAUUCCUAAGACUCAUCCUUUUUUUUUCCUCGAUUAUCUUUCAUGUAAUGUAGAGGCAUGAUUCAUGCACAUCCUUAGCAUUUUCGAACUCCGUUUUCCACAAUAUGUAUAUUAAGAAAGUUUCAUUACAAUAUUCCCUAUAAACUCAUUUACUAUAUUAUUCUUGAAACCUUUAUUUACAUUAUCAUCACUUAAUAUUUACAUACCUUAUUACUAUCUUAUACCUAUGUCUAACUUUUCACUCAUUCUCUCUAGGUUGGACUCGUGCUUCAUCUUCCGCUACAGCAAAAACCCUUGUUGAAGUAUGAGUCUGUGGUCUAGGAGGUGGAUAUGCUGGGGUGUUACUCUCCACGUCAGACCGUAUAGUCACUCCUUGUCUCGGUUGUACUUCAGUGGAAUCUUUCCUCUGUAUAUUCGUACAGGCUUAUGGAGAUGGAACAGCUACAGUGGCUCGUCCUAACUGUGGGCAAUCACUCCUAUAGUGACCUAGCUGAUCACAAUGAAAGCAUCUUACAAGCUUCCUACAUAGUCCGAAAUGAUAUUUCUCACAAUGUCUGCAUUUGUCAGAACCUCCGGAACUCUUUUCAGAAGUAGUCAUCUCAGAUCUACUAAAUCUCGGAGGCCUUUGUUGUGUCUGUGAAACUAAAGGUCGGGAAGAUGAUAUUGGGGCAAAAGUAGUACUUCCUGAAGCCAUUGAGUCCUUGCCCCUUUUUGGCUGCUGACUAGAAGAUCCACUCGGAUUCCUUCUCUUUGUAAUUUCAGCUCGCAUUCUCCUAUUUUCAUUUGCGAGCUUCUCGGCCCUUAGAGCCAUCUGUACCACUUCCUUAUGUGGCUCCCUGCCUAUCACUGUCAUUCGUUCUCUUAUCUCAUUACGGAGCCCUUCCUCAAAAUAACUAGCCUGAUCUUGUUCCGAUUUCACCAAAUCAGGCACAUAUAACAUCAGCUCGUUAAAACGAGCUUCAUACUCCUCUACUGUUAGAUUCCCCUGCUUCAAAUCUAAAAAUUCUCUUCUCUUUUCUUUCUGAUGGAAGUGGGUAUAAUACUGACCAUCAAAUUCCCUCAAAAAGUCUAACCAGGUCAGUGGAGUAGUAGUUCGAGAUUUUAUGAGUUCCACCAAGUACAAGCCCUCUUCUCCAAUAAUCACUUAGCCACCAUUAACUUCAUGUCAUCCUCUAAUCUCAUGUCAAAGAGAGUUUUCGAAACUUGGUUAAUCCAGUCUUUGGCUACGGUAGGAUCCAACUCGCCCGUAAAAGAAACGCAACCUAGAUGCCUAGCUUCCUUCAAUUUCUUAGAAAUAGAAAUAUCCGGCAUCGAUGGUACUGUAGGAGUAGCUAGAGGCACUAUAGGUGGAACUUGACCAGCCUGAGCCUGACCAGCCAUAGCGAUAAAGAAAGCUGCCAAUACCUGUGUUACCUCAAGAGGCAUAGCAGGAAUGCUGGUAGGUGGCGGAGAAAGUGGAGGAUGUGGGGGACUCUCUGCCUGCUCAGCAGCAAGUGCUGCUCAAAACGUAGAUGCAGCGGAUUCCUCCACUAUAAGACUUGGCUGAUUUUGCCUAAGACAUCCUCUUCCCCUCGCAGCCGAUCUAGUGUGGGGUGGGAGUUCUCGUCGAGGAGGCAUGGUAGUCUAGAAAAGGAAACGAGGCAAGUUUAGUCGACCUUAGACUCUAUAUGCAGACACUCAUAUGUGACUCACUUUAACCUAACUUAACUCGGGGCUACACUAACAUUGCAACUUUUAAAACAGCUUCGAAACUAAAGACUCUGAUCUUUAAAACCAAAAGCUCUGAUACCACAAGAAUUGUCACAACCCGAAACCAUCCUUGAGUCCGUGACAACCGCCGCGAUGUCCCGAUAGGCACUCAUCCCCCGAAUACCAUAUCGAGACCUCACAAGGCUUUUGUAUAAGUUUCUUAUCUCCCAUGUGGUUAAUCGUUGCCAAAUGUCGUAUUUUAGAGGCUUUUAAUCUUUUUUUUUAUUUAAAACUGUGAAAAAAUAAAUUUCACUUCACAAAGGCAUUUUGGNGGCACUCAUCCCCCGAAUACCAUAUCGAGACCUCGUAAGGCUUUCGUAUCGGUUUCUUAUCUCCCAUGUGGUUAAUCGUUGCCAAAUGUCGUAUUUUAGAGGCUUUUAAUCUUUUUUUUUAUUUAAAACUGUGAAAAAAUAAAUUUCACUUCACAGGGGCAUUUUGGUUAUUUUUCGUCAAAAAUUUCAAAUUCGACCAAAAUGUAGUACUUAAGCGAGAAAUGCAUAUUUUGAAAUCGAAAUUAAAUUUGAAUGUCUAAAAUGUGAUUUAAAAUGGAAAUAUAACCAUUUAAAUAAAAUAAAAAUAUUCGACAAAAUAUUCUAUUUUCUUACAAAUUAAUAUUUACAGAGUAUUUUGAAAAUGAUUUUUAGUAGCGUAAAAGUUAAAUACAUUUAUACAAACUAUAAUACGGAAAAACAAAGUAUGAAAUUUAAUUUACAGUGCUACGUGGGCCCAUAAAUGAACAAAAGUAGUAAAAACAGUAAACCUACAGUUUUUGAAGUAGUAUGGCCAACUAUAGUUCUCGACGAUGUCUGCUAUCUACAGGCUAACCCGACCUGAAAUGAUGGGAUAAAAAAAAGGAUGAGAUUAUAAAAUCUCAAUGAGUAAACAAACACCAUCCAAAUAAUCUAAAGGCGAGUCAAGGGACACAAUUAAAAAUAAUUCAUUUUAGUAAAUUUUUCACAACACGAAUAUUCAUUUCAACCAAAUAAUCAAUAUAGCUCAUGAAUUUCUCAAAACUUGGCUCAUGCCAAAUCCUAUACUCGGGGACACCUGGACCAAGGGUAUCCAACCAAGUCCUCCAAGACUGUGAAAAAUUUUAUAUAAUCAUAAAACUUGUUUUCAUUUUGAAAAAUUUAAUCGUUCCUUGGCGUUGACUAAAUCUCACUUCACAUGGUGGUUAACGUGAAGUGCACUCAAAAAGCCCACCUCAGGAGAUACCCUACGCGCCUCUACGACUGAGGUGAGAAUAUAAAGGAGUCUACCGUGCCCCUCUAAUAGGUUGAUCCACGAAACCCCGCCACUGUAGUAGCUAAUCUUUAAUGCACCAAUUGAUCAAAUCUCAAUGGCAUAGCAUGGCAAUUACAUUACUAACCAAUUUAUCAAGGUAAAACAGACAGUUCAUAUUUUUCAACACAAGUAUAAAUUCAGCCAAUCGUGCCAAUUUAUCACAAGCCAUUUAAUUCAAAUCAUAAUUUACAAUAAAUCACAUUGUCUCCAAUUACUCAAAUUUUCAAAUCCAACAUUUUUUUUUCAAAUCAAUUUAUAAAAAUUUCAAUUUAUUUUAUAAUUCCAUUUAUUUUAUAAAUUCAUAUUUUUCUCAUAAAACAAAAAAUUCAUCAUUUAAAAUAAUUUUCACAAAUCAUAAAAUUGAAUAAAAACUACUCUAGAUAAUUCAGACGAUAAUAGGUUUACUCACAAGUUUCAAAAGUUUAGAUUUCGAGUGUACUCAGCUUAGUGAUCCCCAAGCGUAAUUUCCUUGCGUUUGUUGAAGGGCACACCACCUUGACACAGUAUAAAAUCAAGGAAUUUAGUAUGUUGCCCUUAAAUUGAAAUAACUAAUUUAGAUCACUAAUGCAUGGUAUGAAAUGCAAAAGGUCUAAAAUUUGCCUAAACACCGUAUUGACCUAUUUCGGUCUUUUACCUGAUAAAUUGAAAUACACAUCCAAUUCAACUCCAAUUGAUCCCAUUUCUUUUUCUAAUGCUUCAAAUCACCUAUGUCUAGCCAAAUAACCCAAAAAUCAGCAAAGCCACAUUCAUAUUCCUUCUUGGAAAAAAAUUCGGCCAAAAUGGUGCAUCACUAUCAUAAUUUUUCCUACUUGAUUUUUUUUCCAUAAUUCAUUAAUUUCCAUAUUAAAAACUAUGAUUUCAUAAUCAAAUAACCUAAAAUAACAUCACAUUCUUCCUCACCAUUGACUUGAAAAUUCAGCUAAGGCUAGGUAAUGGGAAAAUGAAUGUUUUUCUACAUAUUUUGUUUACUAACAUGCUAAACUAACACUAAACACUAACAUAUAUCAAAAUCAAAUCAAUCCAACAAUUUUCUCUCUCUAGACCCAUAUGACCAGCCAUGAAAUCACCAUGCAAACAUGCAAUUUAAUCAUGGAAAAUAAGGAGAAAUGCUUGGGAAUAAGAAACUCAAGCUUAAUAGAAAAAAUCUUACCUUUUUCACUUAAUUUCCUUGAAAAUUUACACUUUUUCUUUGAUUUUCUCUCUCUAGGGUUUGCUUUUUAUUUUCUCUCUCUUCUUGCUGGUUUGGCCGACCAUGGGGUGGAAGAUGGGCUGGUUUUUGUGCCUUUUAAAAAGGAAAAAUAAUAAAUUAAUAAAGGCAUGACACAUGGCAUCAUGUCAUUGGCUCGUUUUUUUAAAAUUUUGACUUUUCAUUUUAAUUUUCCACCACACCUUUAUUCCAUCUUUAUCCAUUCCCACCAUAAUUAAAUUCCACAAAUUUGACAAGUGUUGGUGGUGCAAAAUUACCAUUUUGCCCCCGACAUGGUAAAAUUACCGUUUUACCCCUAUACUCCAAAAAUACUGAGAAUUGAAAAUUUCUCCCUCAUCAAACUCCAAUUAUGUUCUAAAUAAUCUAAAUAAUUAAUCUUGAUCAAUUGUUAUCAAAAUUUGUUUUUCUAAAUUCCCGUUUUUCCCUUAAAUGACAAAAUGACCAUUUUGUCCCUAAUUGGUAAAUUCUCCCGAUUGACUCCAAACUGGACCUCGAACUCCGAAUCACUGUUUUGAGAAAUCCCUAGACUAUGAAAUUGAAAUUUCAUCUUAAAUUUUCUAUUUUAAUUAGUUCGAGGUAUAAAUCAACUUAGUUGUACUUUUAAGUACAAUACUGACUUUUACCUAUUUUAUCGAGAUAUUCUAGUACACAGGCAUGAUGCCAACUAUAUGUAUGACCUGACAAAUAAUUUAGGGCUAGGCUUGACAUUAAAACCCUCAAUUUAACCCUUGGUUGAUAAAUCAUGUGACGAUAGAGAAUUCAUAUUCAAAAUGAAAUUGGAGAAGUGGAAAAUAUGACAAAAACUCGCCAACUGAUAAGCGAAACAGAAAGUUUUAUUUUCGCUACAGCGAGAAACAGAGCAAUAAGAAAGAUUUCCUUUCAUCCCAAAUAAACCAUUUCACUGCAAUGCAAAUCAAUUUGGAACACUAAAAAAAAAUGCUCAAGGUUCAACAAGCAGGAUUCCACAUACAUUAUAGUCACACAUGUUAUUCAUAAAUUCUUUAUUGCAUUAAUACAUGUGAACAUAUGCAAACAUAUAUGUAUAUAUAUACAUCCACCGCCUCCCCAGCUCAUGUGCAUCCCCCCACAUCGUGCACAUAGCUGGAGUCAUCGUGUGCAUCCUCCCACAUCAUGCACAUCUAAUGCCAUCGUGUACAUGCCCCCAUAUCGUGCGCACGGGCAAUAUCAUCAUUCGCCUACUUCACCACCGUCAUUACCGGUAUGUGCAUCCCUUCACAUUGUGCACACACACGGUUAUAUCCAUUACACAAUAUUAUCUACCAAUGUACUAUACAUAUAUCUAUAUAUAUAUAUAUAUAUAUAUAUAUAUCAACAUUAUACCGAAACACAUGGAUUCAUCACACUUUGUAUUUCACAACAUAAAGACAUUUCAUAAGGGCUUGUUCCAAGGCACUUUUUUUUUUUUUGAAAGAGAAUUGGAUAAAUCAUUCAAAGUAUUUGUCCAAAUGCAUUCACAUAUCCCAAAACAGUUUUGAAAUGCAAGUUCACUGACCUAUCUUUGUUGAUUCUUAAAGUAGCUCUAACUUCCACUAAUGCCCUGAAUGGUGAUGUGGGGUUUCGGUGGAGCCAAUCACAUAUUAGCAUCACAAUCAACUCAAUCACAUAACCAUAAUUCUAAAAGAUAUCUCCUAAAUCAUGUUCCACUAGUUAUUCCUAACUAGCUUCCAACUACCAUCAAGUGGCUAUUUAUUUGCACCAUUAUAAUCGCACCAAAAUGAAUAAACUACCUCAACUACACAACACUCAUAAAUCUAACUAUUAAUCAUUCUCAACUACUAAAAUAUCAACUCAAUUUCAAUGCUCACCUUGCUAGAUUUGCAAUUGAAUAUCUCCUCAAGAAUUCCUAAACUAUUAUAGAAGGUCUUUUUUUCUCUCUCUAAAACCCUAGUUAGUGAAAGAAAGUAUUGAUCUAAAACAUUUCAGGGGUUUUAAGGUGAAAGAGUGAAAGAGCAUAAGAGGUUCUAUAAAAAAAAUGCACAAAAGCAUGAAAAUGAAGGCUAACUUGAGAGAGUUAUGGAAGCUUGAAGAGCACUCCCAUGAAAGGUGACGAAAUAUGGGAUGGGAGGAAGAAGAAGAAGAUGAAGUGUUGGAAAUCUGAGAAAAGUGCUGGAGAAUGAAGAUAUUUAUAGUUAAAACUUAUCUAAUUGUUCAAAAAAUUACAAUAAUGCCUUUAGCAAUGCCAUUUGUCUUCCUCUUAUUCUUAUGAAAUCUUUUACUCUUUUGACACUAGGAAAAUGUCCAAAAUCCUUUGAAAGAGGUCCCUUAAGUAGCCCCCAAAAGUCCUAGCUUCAAAAACCCUAAAAUCUUAUUAUUUGUAGAAUUUACGAUGAGGGGUCGUGGCUCUCAAUUUCCAACAUCGCGGCACUCAAACAUUUUGCCAAUUUCGAUCUUCUAACACAGUUCUUUCACUUCGACAAAGAUUUUGACCACCUUCCCAUCAAAACUGGGCAAAGUGGCAAACACCAAAGGUGUAGCCAUGCCUCUUAGCUUUCUAAUGGUCUAAAAAUCAUGUUAUUUGAACUUCUACAGUGGGAGAUAUACUUGAAAAACUAAAAUAUAUGCAAAUAGGGCUACUGUUCAUUAUGCACCUUUCUUCACCAAUUAAAAUUAUUUUUGAUCCUACUUCUAUAACGAUAUAAAAUAAUUAUAAGUAACAUAAAACUAGCAUCAUUAGCUCAAAUUAAACCUUUAAACAUAAGUUUCACCUCGAGUUACGCGUCUAUGAAGGUCAAGGUUUCACACUUACCUCAAUGCUUAAAUUUAUAAACUCCAAGUGAAUCACAAUCAUCACUAUUCAUUCCAAUCAAAGUGCGCCCCUUGUACCAUUACUGUAUAUGUUUCUUUAUAUUGAUUGCAAUAAGGAUCCAAUAUCAUCCAAUUUCUUCUCACUGACAACUAUAGGCUCAAGUUAUAACUCCACUGAAUGAAUAAGUCAUUACGGACCUAUUAGUCCAACUCCAAUUUCCUCCAUCUUUAAUCGAAGGGAUUUUGUCAAACCCUGUUCUAUAAAAUAAUUACGACGUUAUUUACAUGCUCAAUAGAAUGUUUGCAUAUUUAGGAAGUUCGAGAAAUAAUUAAAAGACGAUAUUGCCCUUAAUGGUACCAUUAAGUCGAUUAAGCCUCGAACUAGUUCAAAUAGGAAUUUUAUGGUGAAAUUAAGAGUUUCACAAUCCAGGUAUAACUCAAAAUGGUAAUUCGGAGUUCGAGGAUCAAUUUGGAGUCAAACCGAAAUUUUCAUUAUCUAGGGGUAAAAUGGUAAUUUUACCACCUGAGGAUGAAAUUGGAAUAUUGGAAGAAGUUUUUGAUCAAGAUUGAUCACAUUUGACUCAUUGGAGUAUAAUUUGAGGUUGAUAAGUGAAAAAGUUAUAAUUUUGGUAUUUUUUGAGUAUAGGGGCAAAACAGUAAUUUUACCAUCUCGGGGGCAAAUCAGUAAAUUUUCACCCCCGACACUUGUCAAGACCAAGGAAUUUUAUUCAUCAUGUAAAUGGAUAAACAUGAGAAAUAUGUGGUGGAGAAUUAAAGAAUUAAAAGUCAAAUAUUUAAAAUUUGAACCAGUAAGGGAAAUGCCAUGUGUCAUGCUUUUAUUAUUUUAUUGUUUCUCUAUAAAAAGGCAUAAAAAUCAGCGCAUUUCUCCCAUAGUGGUCGGCCAAACCAGAAAAGAAGAGAAACCAAAGAAGAACAAACCCUAGGUGGGAAAAAUCAAAGAGAAAGUGUUGGAAUUCAAGGAUUUGAUCAAGCAAAGGUAAAAUUUCUUUGAUUUUGCUAGUGAUUUACCGUACGCAUGCAUUUCUCCUUAAUUUCCAUGGUUGGAUUGUAUGUUUUCAUGGGGAAAUCAUGGCUGGGCGAAUGGGUUUGGUGAGAGAAAUGAUGUUGGAAUUGUUUGAUUUUGAGUUAUGUUGGUGUUUAGAGCUAGUUAAGCAUGUUUAGAAACAAAACAACAAGAAAAGAAUCCAUUUUCCCCAUGAACCUACAAUGGCCGAACCCUAUGUGAAGUGUAGAAGUAAUGAAUUGAUUUUGUGAUCAAGUGAAUUGGUUGAGAAAUUGAUGAAAUGAUGAUUUAUGUUAAGAAUAUGGAAUGGAAAAAUUUUUAGUGAUAGUGCAUCACAAUGGUCGAAAUUUUCAAGAAGAAUUGUGAGGAUUGUUAGGCUGAAUUUUAGAUUAUUGGAAUUGUAUUUAGUGAAUUGAAAUAUUAGAAAUGAAAUGGUGCAAUUUGGAGCCAAAUCGGAUACAAUUAUCAUUUAAUCAGGUAAUAGGCCAAAUUAGGUCAGCACUGCAUUUAAGCGGUAGUUGGAUAAGUUGCAUAUCAUAUCAUGCAUAUACACCGAGCCUGAAUUGAUUUUAUAAUGGUCAAGAAUUAAUGUGGUGAAUUAUGUAUUGUACAUCGUGGAUAGGUGGUGAGCAAAUUACACUAGUAAAAGUACAAAUAUUGUACUUGAAGACUGAGAUUAGGAGUAUAUCGACUCCUAGAACUGUGAGUAAACUUAUUAUCGUCUUAAUUAUCUAGAGUAGUUUUAUACAAUUGAGUGAUUUUAUAGAAAAUGGGUUUAAAUGGUAAAUUGCUAUGUUUUAGGAGAAAUUGUGAUUUAUAAAAUGAUUUUAUAAAUUUUCUGAAAAAUUGAAUACUGGUUUUGAAAAUAGAUUAAUUGGAGACUGUCUGCUUGUGUUAUAAAUUGUGUUUUAAAUUAUAUGGCUUAUAGCAAUAUGUGUGCAUGAAUGGCAAAGUCGGUAUUUGUAUCAAAAUUAUAUAUACUAUGUAUUCAGCCUUGAGAGGCUAGAUUGCGAUAAAUUUCCAUGUCAUACAGAUAAAUAUUUUAUAAAUCAGGUGGUAGAUAAAAUAAUCCAUAAUCCCUACAGUGGAGGUUCUAUGGACCAGCCUAAGAGAGAGGGCAUAGAAUCAAAUAUACCUGACCUCGAUCGGAGAGCCGUGUGGAGGGUUUCUCUAGAGGUAAAGAUUUGAGUGCACUUCACAUGGACCACCACGUGAGAGUGAGACUCAGCCAACGCCAAGGCAUGGCUAGAAUUUUGGAUGUAAAGAUAUUUAACAGCUUUGGUGGUCUCGAUCAGAUGCCUAGGCCAAGGCAUCCCCAAGAAUGAUUUUGACAGAAGCCAAGUUUUGUGAGAUAUAUAAGCCAUGUUGAUUAAUUGAGUAAACUGAAUAUUCAUGUUAUGAAACAUAUAUUGGAAAAGGAUAUUUUAAUUCGUCUCCAUUCACUCCCCUUUAGAUAGUUUAGAUGGUGUUUGUUUACUCACUGGGAUUUUGUAAUCUCACCCUUCUUCCUAUCCAUUUUUCAGGCUCAGGAUAGUUUGUUGAUAGUUGAUUAAGACAAGAAUUACUCUCGGAAUUGCAUCCUAGAAAAGUAAGGGUUCGUAGCCCUACACCUUCUUUGUCAGUUGGGGGCCCACGUGUCACUGUAAAAGUAAUUUUAUACUUCAGUUAUCUGAUUUAAAGUAUGUAUGAACAUAUUUAGCUUUUACACCAUGUUUUUGGCGGGUUUUCGUAUUUUCAAAGAAAAAUGACAAAAAUGCCCCUAUGAGCUGAAAAAUAAUAUUUUAUUAUUUUGAUUUGGAAACGACUUAUGAUUUCUUGAAAUGUGAGAUUUAAUAACUGUCACUCACCGGGGAGAUGCGGAAGCUGAUGCUAAGCCUUGCGGGGUUCCGAUCUGCAUUUCGAGUAAUGAGUGCCUAUAGGGAUGUCGCGACAGUUGUCACGAGGCCAAUGGGGAGUUUCGGAUCGUGACAGAUUUAUUAUUAUAUUAACCUUUCAUUAGGAGCAUUUGCUUAAAAUCUUUCCAACGAUAGCUCGUGUCUCGGGUGGCAUCUCAAACCUGGACAACGGUACCACUUAUGACCUUUGCAUAAUGUUAGCAAGAUGGUAGGUUACUAGAAAUAGGAGUUUAUAUAGCCUCUUGUUUAUGAAUUGUGUUGCAGUCACAAACCAUAAACAAGACUCUACAUUAACUCCGAAAACUCCGUUGACUGACACGAGAAUUCUUAGGACUCGACUAAACCUAGAGCUCUGAUACCACCUUUGUCACAGGUCAAAUCCCGAGCCAUGACCGGCGCAUGAGCCCAAUAGGCAUAACCUACUAAGCCCAAGCAAGCUUUUUUUUUUUUAUGCAAUCCUAAUCAUCAUUCUCAACCUUCAUUUCUAAAGCCACAUAUUACAAUUCUCAAUUAUAAACAUUUUAGUAACAUUUUAUAGCAAUCCAAUAUUCACAUUUGUAUUAUGCUAACAUAGUAUCACUCAUUUGCCACCUUAUAGUGGCAUCAAUAAUCAAAUAUACAUAUUUGAUUUUUAACAUGAAUCUUAGUGGUCUUUAUUACUUAUACAUGUAAAUAAGCAUAAGACUCUUGACCGUCAGCGGAGUGACCGUGGGUAAAGGUACAGCUACUGAGAUGCCAUAGUACCUACCAAGAAGGCGAGUAUAUGUGUGCAACUCAAUCUAAGUCCCAACUUGCCUUCG